UGCCAGCAGCCGCGGUAAUACGUAGGGUGCAAGCGUUAAUCGGAAUUACUGGGCGUAAAGCGUGCGCAGGCGGUUCGCUAAGACCGAUGUGAAAUCCCCGGGCUUAACCUGGGAACUGCAUUGGUGACUGGCGGGCUAGAGUAUGGCAGAGGGGGGUAGAAUUCCACGUGUAGCAGUGAAAUGCGUAGAGAUGUGGAGGAAUACCGAUGGCGAAGGCAGCCCCCUGGGCCAAUACUGACGCUCAUGCACGAAAGCGUGGGGAGCAAACAGGAUUAGAUACCCUGGUAGUCCACGCCCUAAACGAUGUCAACUAGUUGUCGGGUCUUCAUUGACUUGGUAACGAAGCUAACGCGUGAAGUUGACCGCCUGGGGA
RNAcentral lists this ribosomal RNA (373 nucleotides) under uncultured bacterium. RNAcentral describes it as "bacterial SSU rRNA". It matches the Rfam family "Bacterial small subunit ribosomal RNA", at positions 506 to 879 of the family's 1533-position model. The record is from RNAcentral.